AACAUCUAUAUUCAUUCCCCUGAAUUCAUCAAUUUGUCUAAAAACAAAAACCAUAAAAAGGAAACUAUACACACAUUCAAAUGAGUCCUGUUUAAUUUCUGACAAAGAGUUCUUGCCUUUUUCCUGAAUAUUGAGGACACAGGAGUUUGGGGUUGCUAGUGCCAACCUAAAGAGGAGUUCUAAAAUUUAAAACAAGUAAACUACGUAAUGUUACUAAGAGAAACAUUACUUGUGAAAACAUUUUGCUCAGAGUCCGGCCAAAAUCUGCCUAAAACUGGUCUCGUUUUUAGGCGCCCGCUCUUUAGACUUAAAUCUUUAAAACCCCUGCUUUCUGCACCCUUGGUUCCUUAGCUUUCAGUGGAUUUCUUCCUUUUUUCAUUCUAAAUACUCAACUGUCCCAGCUGGAGCGCCUCUGUACAUGCAGCUGCCAGUUACAGUGUCCUCUUCCCUUACUACACCUUUAUUUUUGGUUUCUUUUCUUCAGGAGCCCAGCACUCCAGAACAAUUCCUUGGCUUCCUGUGUCAUCUACUCUUCAGGUGAAAAGCUGCUUAAAUGUGUCCUCACGGUCUUGUCACUAGAUACCAAUUUAAGGCUCAGUUUGGGACAUACUUAUUCCCUGGGCUACCUCUCAGAUGCAUAUUGGUGAUAUUUUACAGAAAAGUGAGUGAAAGUUGCUUUUCCCUGCUGCCCCUAGUGGAGUCCAUUAAUUAUGCAUUUAUGUCAGCUGUCGCUGUCACACUGGGAGAAGGGAAGCCAUAUGGACAAAAAGGAUCAUCCUGGCCAGGAGGGCUCUGGAUACUGGCAUCAGCAGCUGAAGGGUCCUGGGCGUUGCCCUUAAGAGCUGUCUCUCUUCCCUGUGAGUCUGGUUUGGGGACAAGAGGGGAAAUGCCUGCCAGAGGGUUAGGGAUUUUUGCCAUUAGCAAGGAACUGGAGUCUCUUCCUGUCUUUUUCUAUGACACUUGCCUGAGAAGGAUUCUGCAUUGUGCAGAAGGCUAAAAGCAGAGUCACACGUUCUCUGCUAACAGACUUGUUGCCAUGGGAACCAAUGCAGAAAAACGAAAAUAAGACUAGAAGUGAAAAAUCAAAUGUGGAAAAAAAGAAUUGCCACGGAAUUGGUUUCUACAUGGCAAUUUGGGCAUUUGGGAUUUAAAGAAAGAGCCCGUUCCCCAAGUGGUCAGAUCAAUGGAAGUGGACGAACUGCCGAGCUGGUCGCUGAUCCCAGGAGGCCAGAGAUAGUGGUGCAGGGAGAGAGUGGUGUGGAGGUUGCAGCUUGCAGGAGGGGAACUUUGUAAAAUCCAGUUCCAUCCCGAUAAAGGUAAGCUCUUCAGCCCAAAUGUUCAGCUAACUGUAUGAUCAGACAUGCCCCUCGGGAAAACACAUCUAUGCUUAGCUCCAUAAACAAAAGCAGCCUGCUGUAACAAUCCUAACCUUCCACAGCCAGCACACGUUACCUGACAAGAUUAUUGCACAACUAGCAUAUUAUUGCUUGAAGCAUCUUUCCAAAUAUUCAAAAACAGGGCCGGGGAUUUAGGCCAGUGGUUCCGUCGCCUGCCUCGCAAGCGCAAGGACCUGAGUUCGAUCCCCGGUACCAAAAAAAACAACAAAAAAACAAAGAGUGACAAUAACAAACCCCACACCUUGCAAAUGGGCAGCUCCCAUCCCCCACAAGAUAAGCUAUUAUAAGUAACUUAAAAUUUACUUAUUAGGGAAAUAAUUAUUUCACUUCGCUUGAUACAAGUCCUCCCUGUAUUCUGGACUUGAUAAUAAAUUGAUUGAAGUAGACUAUAGGACCCCAGGAAAAUCUUCAGCACGGAUUUAAGUUUCACCCUAAUCUGAGAAAAACAGACAUUUGUGUUGUAUUUUCAGAGGCUCCGUGGGAACUGCACCUGUGUUGUCCCCAAGCCUCCCCAAAGGUUAUUUCCUGAAAUUCUAUAAUUAAUGCUUUAUUCCUGUGGCUGUAGCCUGGGCCUGUAUUGAAAUGCAAUUACCCUCAGGAGCUGGGGAAAGGUCACACUGUUGAUGACUUGAUUCCCCAGAGAGCUAAGUUUCAGACAGUACUAAGACUCUUCACCUUAACCCUCCCAUCCUCCCUCAAACACAGACGGAGAAGAAACUAGGAACACAACAUCCACCUGUACAACAGGUAGGGAUGCGGCCCAGGAAGCAGAUUACCUACCAGGUAUGGCUUACCAGGUAAGUUCCAUCUUUAGGGGACAUCUCACGACAAAUGCCCUGAAUAACUUUGCUCUUUGUGUCCAAAGUACACUGCACAUAGAUUUCACUAGAAACACUUUCUUACUGAUGACUUCCUGCCUAUUUGAGCUCCUUGCUGAAGCCUUUACCAAUCUUCAAUUCUUGCAAUAACAAAAGCCCAUUAGGUUAUCUUCUUCUAAGAGUACUUUCACAACUCCAAAAUCCAAUAAAAUACCGGUGUUUUCUCCCACUUGUGAUCUGGAGGCACGCUCCACAAUGCACACAGGACCCUACCCAGAGGUUUGAGUACAGUGGUCUCCCUGAUGUUAGCCAAUUUCUUAUGCCAACAUUUCGGUGAAUUCCAGGAGUGGAGACACACAUGCUUGGUUUUGGCAGGUGGGAGUUAUUAUAAAAAGCCUUGAUUUUCUCUUCUUUCUUUUCUUUUCUUUUCUUUUUUUUUUUUUUUUAACUAAGAACAGAGAAGUAGAUUGCUUUCCGAGAUAGGCCAAUAAAACAUACUCGUAUCUUCACAAGCAGCUAUGCCUUUGAAUUUGCCAUAUGAUAAAGAGGAGAUGGAUGCUUCUCAUUUCUAUAUGGUCUUUCUACAAGCACCUGAUGCCUGGAGAGAGACUAUCUGGUCACUCCUGAAAAAGGAUUAGCUCUUGCCACAACCCCUCUGAUCUAACCGGUAGAUCAUACCUUGAGCUUCUCCAGCAGAGGAGAAGUCACCCACCACUACCUUAUUUAGUAAUUUUUAUCGCAUUUGUUCAUUCCUCAGACAAGAACAACUUAAAACUUAACAACAAAUCUCGUAAGGUACUGAAAAUUAAAAUUCUACUCCUUUCAGUUUUUAAAAGUUGAUUUGACCUCUUAACCCUACAAGGUUAUACAAGUGAUUCUCCACAGUAUCAUGUACCUUAAAAUGUCAUAGAUGUAACUUGCAGUUUUUUCUAGUUUAUCACAUAGCUCAGUAUUUCACAAAAGGAUCAACUUCUUUGACAUUAAGAUUGGUUUUUCACUACCACGGGCAUUUGGAAAUUAAGAGAUUUGGAACCAUUAGUGGCAUAAUCAUUCAGUGUGGCAGGCAUUGUGUUUUACAGAACUAACUUUUAAAACCCAACAGCUCUCCCAUAUUGGCCACUGAAUAUACAUAGUGAUAUAGGGAUUUUUUUCAAUACCUUCCACCUGGAUAUCCAGCAUAUUCUCAAAGUGUUAUUUGAAGGUCAAGAGCCUUUGAAUAACUAUUUUCAAAGCACAAUCUUAUUUUCAAAUGUAUGCACACUGCAUAAUCCAUUACAUGCUUUUGAUAAAUUCAUAUUUCCUAAGAUAAUGCAAAAAGUCCAGAUCAAGGCUAAAACUCACCCAUUGUUUGAACCUAUCUUUAUUAUAUAGCUGCUGUUCCACCUUUUGGCUAACCCUAAAGCAUUAAGAAGCUAAUCCUAACAUGAAUAAAAAACUUUGAUUUUUAACCUUAAACAGCAAAGACUGGUAUUUUGUUGGAAAUAAACAAAUUCUACUGUUCAACUUGCCAAUGGCGUUUAAUAUCUGAAGAGAUUCCUCCUUUGGACUAACUUUUGGGAAUUUGGAACACUGUCACUUUUCAGCACUUAGGAAUGCUGCUGGGCAGCUGCAAUUGGCAGUCCUGGGGUGCCCCGAGAGAAGGUCUGGUGGGGCUGGCCACACUGGGCUUCCCACUGGCCACUGAAGAGGCACACAUGGGCUUGAUCUAUGCCUUCCUCAUUCUAGGCUCUCUGUAGUUUAUUUCCUAGAAAACAUUAUCUUAAGUGUUGUUCAAGUUGCAUUCCUUUUUUUAUUUUGUACUGAGGAUCGAACUCAGAACCUUGUGCUUGUGAGGCAGGAGCAAUGCCACUGAGCUAAAUCCCCAGCCCACUCCUUUCUGAGUGGUAUGUGUCCUAUCCUGUCCUUACACACAAAGCCCCCUCCUAAGAAUAGGGCGUUUGCUGACAAUAGAGCAAAUCUUUCUCCUGUGUAUAGGUGCAUGGUAAGUGUUCAGAAUAUGGUAAGUGUCCAUGAGAAGUAUGUACAUUUUUAUUAGGUAUUUAGACCACAAGUGAUUCUUUUAAUGAAAAGGGACACUGAAGGUUAAUUUCUAUUCUUUCCUUCCCUGGGAUGAAUUCCUCCCAUUAGAGCAGUAGGACUUGACGCCAAGCCUUAAGAUGCCUAUUGCCCUAUGACUUUGACCCCAAAUGGUUACCUCCUUGGAGCGGGACAAAGUGAAAGCAAAGUGGAAAGCUAGAGGUCAGCCAGCCUGUGACUAUUCCUUCCCCAUAUGAUUCAUUCAGGAAGAUACUGCAGUUACCUCUGUCUUGUCACCUGACACUUGGACUUUUUGAGAAGAAAUUUUAUCUAUUUAUCUAUCCUCUUAUCUAUCUGUCAUCUUUCUAUCUUUCAUCUAUCUACCAUCUAUCAUGUAUCUCCAGGAACCUAUCUUCAUAAAGAAAUUACAAAUGUUCCUUAUCCAUAUCAUAAAAACAAUAAAGCUGAAAAUAGGCAUUUGCCAUUUUAGGACACCUCAGGAGAAAGUGACAACACAUUGUUUUCCGUCCUCCCCUCAUGUUUUGUAGCUACGCAGCGCAUUAAUUAGACUUUUUAUGUGUUUUUGUCUCCCCACUAGAUUGUGUUUCCUGAGGGUCUGGCCAUGGCUUAUUUACAUUGUUAUCUUUCACUGUUCUCAUUAUAGAACUUGGAACGUUCUUUGCUCAUUCACAUUGGAUGAUUAAAUUGAAUGUGCAGUAAGAAAAAGAUGUUUUUAAAUCAAUGACUUUUUAAAAAUCCGAGGAUAAACGCUAAAGCCAGAGGGCAAACCCCAGCUUGGAGCCACAUUAGGAGGGAACCGAGUCUCCCCUCCUCCUAGGGGCUGCAGUGGGCGGCGCUUGCGCGCUGAGCAUGCGCCUGGGGCUCCAGUCAACCCAGGUCCCCGCUCCUCCCUGGGCUCCAUCUCUUCAGCUCUGAGGGUCUGGAUGAACUCUCACAGUAGGAGUAAGUAUCAGGGGGUAGAUGAGCACGGUGGGGAUGUUUAUGGAAGGGUUUUUUCAAAGGAAAGAAAAAGACAUAGUCCCUCAUCUUGAAGUAGACUAUGAUGACCUAGGGCCCUAGGUCACAGGGAUGGGAACUAUCGUUUUUAGGAAAUAUAUGGAAAGGGGUGGACCCAAUAGUGAGAGAGAUGGAGCAGCAGAGGGGUGGUGUGCGUGUGUGGAGACAGAGUCUGGGGGAGGGAGGAGAGAGAGAGAGAGAGAGAGGGAGCCAAGUUCGAAUUUUUUGGGAAAUGGUCGCGCAGAUCUGCAGUGCUGGGAGCAACAUUCACAGUUUGGUAAAAGACAGCAGAGUGAUGGCCUGCCAAGAAUCUGGAUCCUAAGGAGACCGAGUGGCCCUAUCAAGUACAAAAUCCCUCUUGCUGAUAGAACGACCCCACAGGUAUGCCUGAAGAACUAUCAAAGAUGGCUGGUUUUGAAAUGAGUCAACGGCGUCCAGGGAAGAGAAGUGUUACACGUGAGGAAUAGUAUCCAAGAUGAUAAUGGAGAGGAAACAACCAAAGUGAAGCUUUGCUUGUGACGACCACUCCUUUCUCAGGGAGGGACACAGCCGGCCCACCUGCUUCUUGGGGAGGAGGAGGGUGCAGGGGAGGCCACAGAGCCCCACAGUGUCCCCAAUUCUCUUCCUGUAGCUCCAGAGUCCACUCUACUGCCUCUAAGUGGUUCCCAUUCGUCCUGCAUGCCUCGCAACCUCUUCCAUCAUGGCAGGAGUAGAAGAUGAUAAUGUUGUUCAUCAUUGUGUGGUUCAGAUAGGGGAAAUAAAGGACAGCAAUAAGCCACCAGCCCUCAGGCUCUUAGACAAACAUCAUCGCAGCAAACAAGGGAGCUCUGCCAGCUGCUGACCUAGUGACAGCUACCAGGAAGAAAACACUCAGAUUAGCCAGAUGUGAUGAAGCUAAAAACCUGAGUAGUUGAUACCAAAAGUCUACAGGUAGUAGACCAGGAGCACAAAGAGAAGCAGAAG
RNAcentral lists this long non-coding RNA (6211 nucleotides) under Heterocephalus glaber (naked mole-rat). Its description in RNAcentral is "lncRNA (ENSHGLG00000041153.1)". The record is from RNAcentral. Lineage: Eukaryota; Metazoa; Chordata; Mammalia; Rodentia; Bathyergidae.